Long non-coding RNA from Triticum dicoccoides, 945 nucleotides. RefSeq lists it as uncharacterized. The transcript is spliced from 4 exons. The record is from RefSeq and is a predicted model, not a curated record. NCBI's taxonomy places the organism in Eukaryota, Viridiplantae, Streptophyta, Magnoliopsida, Poales, Poaceae.
UACGGCCGAUGGGUUAGACAUGUUUUUCUCAUGGAUUUCUUGUACUGCUGUGGUGUUAGUUUUUAUUUGAGAGAGAUGAUGGAGUGAGCUGCAUUUGGAAUAAUGGAUUUUUUUGGAGAUAACUUUAUUUUUAUGUGCAACUCUUCUUCACUCCUUGAAUUGAUCCGCCUGCGGCUCUAGAGUUCAUUCUGCCGUUCCUGAGCUCUUUCACCAUCUACGAAGACCAAGUGGGUUUACUUUUCCAUUUCGAGUGAUCCGGGACUGGAUUUCUUUGGGGCAACUUCUCUUUUCUCCGCAAAACUUCUUGGCUGCUCCUUGACUUGAUAUCUGGAUACUACGACUACAUCUCGUAGUGAAGAAAUUAAUCUGCGGCCAAUGUAUUAGAAGCACACACAGUCAUGGUUUUCUUUUGCUGCGGGUAGUUAUUAGUUUUCCUGUGGAGCUUCAAAAUGGCUGCUAAACCACCUCAAUGUACUCUGCUCGUAAAUGAUCUUGAUGACGCCGUCAAGCAACUGAUUGAUCUUCUGCAUCAUGAUGAUGGUACCAAAGAAGGAAAAAUAAAAGCAUUCAUGUUUCGUGGCUGGUGUGGCGACGGUCUGGGAGCAUCUGCCGUUCUUAGAGCUACAGCAGAACACCUCAAGUCCAAAAUAAGUGAUCCAGACACAAAGCUGAAAUUUGGUAAAAUUCUCCAUGUCGACUGCUCUAUGUGGAAAAAUAGAAGGACGGUGCAGCGUCGAAUAGCGGCAGAAUUGAACCUUGGGCAUUUAAUGCCUAUUUUUGAUAAGCAAGACGAGGACGAUGAUUUCAGAGGAGUAGAUGACAGUUCUAGAGCAGAGAUAACAAGCAUAGCAAGUGAGAUCCAUGAAUCUCUAAUCAAUGACAAAUUUCUAUUAGUUCUUCAUUAUGGGGGAGAUGCAGAUGUUGAUUUGGCAGAGUCAGGCGUUC